This 292-nucleotide ribosomal RNA is filed under the name uncultured bacterium. Its description in RNAcentral is "partial 16S ribosomal RNA". RNAcentral also lists the same sequence under 1 other name. The record is from RNAcentral.
GGACUACCGGGGUAUCUAAUCCUGUUUGCUCCCCACGCUUUCGCGCCUCAGUGUCAGGAAUUUCCCAGAAGGGCGCCUUCGCCGCCGGCCUUCCCCCAGAUAUCUGCGCAUUUCACCGCUACACCUGGAGUUCCCCCUUCCCCUGAAAUCCUCAAGCCACGCAGUAUAAGGCGCAAUUCCCCGGGUAAGCCGAGGGCUUUCACACCUUACUUACGCAACCACCUACGCGCCCUUUAAGCCCAGUGACACCGAACAACGUUCGCCCCUCACGUAUUACCGCGGCGGCUGGCAC